CUGCAGUCGACGGUGAAGCAGAGCUUGCUCUGUGGAUCAGUGGCGAACGGGUGAGUAACACGUGAGCAAUCUGCCCCUGACUCUGGGAUAAGCGCUGGAAACGGCGUCUAAUACCGGAUACGAGCUGCGACCGCAUGGUCAGUAGCUGGAAAGAAUUUCGGUCAGGGAUGAGCUCGCGGCCUAUCAGCUUGUUGGUGAGGUAAUGGCUCACCAAGGCGUCGACGGGUAGCCGGCCUGAGAGGGUGACCGGCCACACUGGGACUGAGACACGGCCCAGACUCCUACGGGAGGCAGCAGUGGGGAAUAUUGCACAAUGGGCGAAAGCCUGAUGCAGCAACGCCGCGUGAGGGAUGACGGCCUUCGGGUUGUAAACCUCUUUUAGCAGGGAAGAAGCGAAAGUGACGGUACCUGCAGAAAAAGCGCCGGCUAACUACGUGCCAGCAGCCGCGGUAAUACGUAGGGCGCAAGCGUUAUCCGGAAUUAUUGGGCGUAAAGAGCUCGUAGGCGGUCUGUCGCGUCUGCUGUGAAAACCCGAGGCUCAACCUCGGGCCUGCAGUGGGUACGGGCAGACUAGAGUGCGGUAGGGGAGAUUGGAAUUCCUGGUGUAGCGGUGGAAUGCGCAGAUAUCAGGAGGAACACCGAUGGCGAAGGCAGAUCUCUGGGCCGUAACUGACGCUGAGGAGCGAAAGGGUGGGGAGCAAACAGGCUUAGAUACCCUGGUAGU
RNAcentral lists this ribosomal RNA (724 nucleotides) under Clavibacter michiganensis subsp. michiganensis. Its description in RNAcentral is "bacterial SSU rRNA". It matches the Rfam family "Bacterial small subunit ribosomal RNA", at positions 55 to 794 of the family's 1533-position model. The record is from RNAcentral. Lineage: Bacteria; Bacillati; Actinomycetota; Actinomycetes; Micrococcales; Microbacteriaceae.